This is a small nucleolar RNA of Neltuma alba, 96 nucleotides long. RefSeq annotates it as small nucleolar RNA snoR113. The transcript has a single exon. The record is from RefSeq and is a predicted model, not a curated record. Lineage: Eukaryota; Viridiplantae; Streptophyta; Magnoliopsida; Fabales; Fabaceae.
UGGCAAUGAAGAAUCAAGGCCGGACUUACAGCUGCCAUUUAGUUUACUGGUAGUAGGUUGACGAAUAUUUUUGUUAAGGUAUAUGUUCUGAGCCAG